Small nuclear RNA from Manis pentadactyla (Chinese pangolin), 102 nucleotides. The record is from RefSeq and is a predicted model, not a curated record. Lineage: Eukaryota; Metazoa; Chordata; Mammalia; Pholidota; Manidae.
GUGCUCACUUCUGCAGUAUGUAUGCCAAAAUAGAAACAAUACAGAGAUUAGCAUGGCCUGCCCGAGGAUGACACAGUUCAUGAAGCAUUCCAUUUAAAAUUA